GGCGGGAAGAAGAAGGGUUCCACCUUCGUCAUCGAUUGCGCGAAGCCGGUGGAGGACAAGAUCAUGGACAUCGCCUCCCUGGAGAAGUUCCUCCAGGAGAGGAUCAAGGUGGCAGGCGGCAAGGCCGGCGCACUCGGCGACGCCGUAACCGUCACCCGCGACAAGAGCAAGAUCACCGUCACCUCCGAGGGUCCCUUCUCGAAGCGGUAAUACCUUGUCUCGUUUCCGGUGGAUAUUCUUUAUUGGCUCUAAUUCAGUUAUCUGGAUCAUGGAUUCUUGGUAUGGCGUUGUAAUUUAGUGCAAAUGAGGUUUUACAUGAUUAGUUGCUGCG
This 331-nucleotide long non-coding RNA is filed under the name Musa acuminata (dwarf banana). RNAcentral describes it as "long non-coding RNA (MACU_LNC004916)". The record is from RNAcentral. Lineage: Eukaryota; Viridiplantae; Streptophyta; Magnoliopsida; Zingiberales; Musaceae.